GUCCACGCUGUAAACGAUGAAAACUAGAUGUUGGUAGGGGAACCUAUCGGUAUCGAAGCUAACGCGAUAAGUUUUCCGCCUGGGAAGUACGGCCGCAAGGUUGAAACUCAAAGGAAUUGACGGGGCCGCACAAGCGGUGGAGCAUGUGGUUUAAUUCGAUGCAACGCGAAGAACCUUACCUACUUUUGACAUCCUGCGAAUCUGGCUGAGAGGCUGGAGUGCCGAAAGGAACGCAGAGACAGGUGCUGCAUGGCUGUCGU
This 260-nucleotide ribosomal RNA is filed under the name uncultured bacterium. Its description in RNAcentral is "partial 16S ribosomal RNA". It matches the Rfam family "Bacterial small subunit ribosomal RNA", at positions 793 to 1055 of the family's 1533-position model. The record is from RNAcentral.